Molecule: ribosomal RNA, 439 nt
Filed under: uncultured bacterium
Lineage: Bacteria
Description: bacterial SSU rRNA
Rfam family: Bacterial small subunit ribosomal RNA
Source: RNAcentral
GCUAAACGCGAAGAACCUUACCAGGCCUUGACAUGCAGAGAACUUUCCAGAGAUGGAUUGGUGCCUUCGGGAACUCUGACACAGGUGCUGCAUGGCUGUCGUCAGCUCGUGUCGUGAGAUGUUGGGUUAAGUCCCGCAACGAGCGCAACCCUUGUCCUUAGUUGCCAGCGAGUAAUGUCGGGAACUCUAAGGAGACUGCCGGUGACAAACCGGAGGAAGGUGGGGAUGACGUCAAGUCCGUCAUGGCCCUUACGGCCAGGGCUACACACGUGCUACAAUGGCCGGUACAAAGGGCUGCCAACCCGCAAGGGGGAGCCAAUCCCAGAAAGCCGGUCGUAGUCCGGAUCGGAGUCUGCAACUCGACUCCGUGAAGUCGGAAUCGCUAGUAAUCGCGAAUCAGCAAUGUCGCGGUGAAUACGUUCCCGGGGUCUUGUACACA